GAUGAACGCUGACAGAAUGCUUAACACAUGCAAGUCGACUUGAAGCAAUUUCGGUUGUGGAAAGUGGCGGACGGGUGAGUAACGCGUAAAGAACUUGCCCUUCAGUCUGGGACAACCAUUGGAAACGAUGGCUAAUACCGGAUAUUAUGGAACUCUCGCAUGGGAGGAUCAUGAAAGCUAUAUGCGCUGAAGGAGAGCUUUGCGUUCCAUUAGCUAGUUGGUGAGGUAACGGCUCACCAAGGCGACGAUGGAUAGCCGGCCUGAGAGGGUGAUCGGCCACAAGGGGACUGAGACACGGCCCUUACUCCUACGGGAGGCAGCAGUGGGGAAUAUUGGACAAUGGACCAAAAGUCUGAUCCAGCAAUUCUGUGUGCACGAUGAAGGUUUUCGGAUCGUAAAGUGCUUUCAGUUGGGAAGAAGAAAGUGACGGUACCAACAGAAGAAGCGACGGCUAAAUACGUGCCAGCAGCCGCGGUAAUACGUAUGUCGCAAGCGUUAUCCGGAUUUAUUGGGCGUAAAGCGCGUCUAGGCGGGUUCAUAAGUCUGAUGUUAAAAUGCGGGGCUCAACUCCGUAUUGCGUUGGAAACUGUGAACCUAGAGUAUCAGAGAGGUGGGCGGAACUACAAGUGUAGAGGUGAAAUUCGUAGAUAUUUGUAGGAAUGCCGAUGGAGAAGUCAGCUCACUGGAUGAAUACUGACGCUAAAGCGCGAAAGCGUGGGGUAGCAAACAGG
RNAcentral lists this ribosomal RNA (731 nucleotides) under uncultured bacterium. RNAcentral describes it as "bacterial SSU rRNA". It matches the Rfam family "Bacterial small subunit ribosomal RNA", at positions 28 to 776 of the family's 1533-position model. The record is from RNAcentral.